GAUGAAGAACGUAGCAAAAUGCGAUAAGUAAUGUGAAUUGCAGAAUUCAGUGAAUCAUCGAAUCUUUGAACGCACAUUGCGCCCGCCAGUAUUCUGGCGGGCAUGCCUGUUCGAGCGUCAUUUCAACCCUCAAGCCCCCGGGUUUGGUGUUGGGGAUCGGGCUGUACUCCAGCCCGGCCCCGAAAUCUAGUGGCGGUCUCGCUGCAGCCUCCAUUGCGUAGUAGCUAACACCUCGCAACUGGAACGCGGCGCGGCCAAGCCGUUAAACCCCCAACUUCUGAAUGUUGACCUCGGAUCAGGUAGGGAUACCCGCUGAACUUAAGCAUAUCAAUAAGCGGAGGA
RNAcentral lists this unclassified non-coding RNA (342 nucleotides) under soil metagenome. Its description in RNAcentral is "partial contains 5.8S ribosomal RNA, internal transcribed spacer 2, and large subunit ribosomal RNA". The stretch from base 1 to 120 matches the Rfam family "5.8S ribosomal RNA", at positions 35 to 154 of the family's 154-position model. The record is from RNAcentral.